AAGACUAUCAGGGAUCAUUUCUGUCGUUUGUUCAUUAUUAGAAAAGUUUCUCUGAUCCUGUAGAGCACAUGAAACUCCAAGGAGCCAGAACACCCUCUUCUGAGUGUGAAGCUGGUUCUAGGUUGUUGCCUCUUACCAUGAAACUUCUUCUCUUCCUUAGCAACUUCUCUUUUCUUUUUUCUUUUCUCUAGCAACUGCUUCUCUUUCUUUGGAAGAGGGAGAGGAUGCAGUCUGAG
RNAcentral lists this small nucleolar RNA (236 nucleotides) under Sorex araneus (European shrew). Its description in RNAcentral is "Small nucleolar RNA U3 (ENSSARG00000018473.1)". It matches the Rfam family "Small nucleolar RNA U3". From Rfam's summary of the family: Small nucleolar RNAs (snoRNAs) are involved in the processing and modification of rRNA in the nucleolus. There are two main classes of snoRNAs: the box C/D class, and the box H/ACA class. U3 snoRNA is a member of the box C/D class. Lineage: Eukaryota; Metazoa; Chordata; Mammalia; Eulipotyphla; Soricidae. The record is from RNAcentral.